GGGGGGGGGGGGGGGGGGGGGGGGGGGGGGGGGGGCGGGGGGGGGGGCGCGGCGGGUGGGGGGGGCGCGGGGGGCGAGCGGGUGAGUAGCACGGGCGUGACCUGCCGUUGACUUUGGGAUAGCUUCAGGAAACUGGGGCUAAUACCGGAUAGGAGCUCCUGCUGCAUGGUGGGGGGUGGACAGUUUCGGCGGUUGGGGAUGGACUCGCGGCUUAUCAGCUUGUUGGUGGGGUAGUGGCUUACCAAGGCUUUGCCGGGUAGCCGGCCUGAGAGGGUGACCGGCCACAUUGGGACUGAGAUACGGCCCAGACUCCUACGGGAGGCAGCAGUGGGGAAUAUUGCACAAUGGGCGGAAGCCUGAUGCAGCAACGCCGCGUGCGGGAUGACGGCCUUCGGGUUGUAAACCGCUUUCGCCUGUGACGAAGCGUGAGUGACGGUAAUGGGUAAAGAAGCACCGGCUAACUACGUG
Molecule: ribosomal RNA, 468 nt
Filed under: uncultured bacterium
Lineage: Bacteria
Description: partial 16S ribosomal RNA
Rfam family: Bacterial small subunit ribosomal RNA (bases 49-468)
Source: RNAcentral